CCUCUGUCAGGAUGGUCUUGCCGAAAAAUGCCUCUUCACUGGGAAGGUACGACAUAGCCUUCACCUGCAUCGCUAUGACUCUGGCCACUCCCUGCCUGACACCACCAAGUGUCUGGGCCCCGACUGGCCAACAUUCUGUAUUGAUUGCAAUGCGUUUCUCCUCCUCAGACUGGCUUGGAAAGUCGAAUGGCGGAUUCUUUAUCUGCUGAGCCAUCAGCCGAGAUGUCUGCUGAGCAGAAUCAUUUUCUUCUGCCAUGUGGAUUGAAAUCCAGCUCAGUGAGUCACUCAGACUUCAAGUAUCAACAUGCGGCAGAUAUUGCUGGAGAGCCUACGAUGCGUUUGGCACCUGGACACGGAGCUACAGCUUUCAGACAAGACUGGGGACGUUCAGGAUGGUAUGGCCAUAGACAAGCUGCCACUUUCGGAAAGAAUCAAAUUGCUCCACUUCCUUCAUCAUAUUUUUCUCAAGUAUAGCACUGCAUAUGGAGAAGGCUGGGCGGAAUGCAGAAAGCCAGGCAGAUUUUCCUCGUGUUGAAAGGGAACCUCUGGUCAAAAGUCAGCAGCCGCGCUGCAGAAAGCUUUGAUAGUCAGUGAAGUGGAUCACGGCAUGCGCGGAUGGAGCCUCUCGCUGCGCGGGCGGACCUCCCUCCAAGAGCGACCCCUGGUCAUCAGUCAUCGGGGCCCCCAUCGCCUUCUGCGCAGCCGAUGGUUUCACCAGAUCCACGGGGCCUGGGUCCCAAGCUGCCCUUUUCCACAGGUAUUGCUAAAGCAAAUAGCAGACGGUAUUUACUGGGUGUGAUGCUUUCAAUCACAUUAAUCUAGCCAGUAAAAAAAUUUAUGACCAAUAAAAAUUCCACCAUGACAUGGCUGAUUGGAGGAGAGUUGCGGUGAUGGAGAUUCAAGCCACGCCUCUGCCUCUGGCUAGACCGUCACAGCCGUGGAAGGAAGUAGGCGUCGGAGACCAGAAAGACAGAAGUCUCUGGGCCUGUUAAAACCAACUCCAGGGUGGAUGGAUAAAACUCUUAAAUCGUUUAAUAAGUCCGAAUUCUUGGAGUUUGGAGGGCAACUGACUGAACACCUACCUUGAAAAGCUACCUGGGGAAGAGUUAUGGACGUGGUCCUGCCUGCACUAAAAAAUGACUCUGGG
This is a long non-coding RNA of Bos taurus (domestic cattle), 1147 nucleotides long. Lineage: Eukaryota; Metazoa; Chordata; Mammalia; Artiodactyla; Bovidae. The record is from Ensembl.